Molecule: ribosomal RNA, 249 nt
Filed under: uncultured bacterium
Lineage: Bacteria
Description: partial 16S ribosomal RNA
Rfam family: Bacterial small subunit ribosomal RNA
Source: RNAcentral
GAUCCUGGCUCAGGACGAACGCUGGCGGCGCGCCUAACACAUGCAAGUCGAACGAGCGAGAGAGAGCUUGCUUUCUCGAGCGAGUGGCGAACGGGUGAGUAACGCGUGAGGAACCUGCCUCAAACGAGGGGGACAACAGUUGGAAACGACUGCUAAUACCGCAUAAGCCCACGACCCGGCAUCGGGGUAGAGGGAAAAGGAGAAAUCCGCUUUGAGAUGGCCUCGCGUCCGAUUAGCUAGUUGGUGAGG